UGCAUUGGGAGUGGUUCGGGACUAAACCGAUAACUUUAAAAACUCAUAAAAUACUUAGAAAAAUUUUUUUAAAAAUAGGGGACACACGCUCCUGUGGCCCAGCCGUGUGAACAAACACGCCUGUGUCACAAGUCGUGUGGACAUUCGAAAUAGGAGCACAUGGUCGUGUCUGACCUUGUGUAACUCUCUGACUUGGGUCACACGGCCAACACACACACCCAUGUGGAUAGCCC
RNAcentral lists this long non-coding RNA (233 nucleotides) under Gossypium barbadense (sea-island cotton). RNAcentral's name for it is "long non-coding RNA (GBAR_LNC012812)". The record is from RNAcentral. Lineage: Eukaryota; Viridiplantae; Streptophyta; Magnoliopsida; Malvales; Malvaceae.